GCGGAAGAGAUAAGUGCUGAAAGCAUCUAAGCACGAAACUUGCCCCGAGAUGAGUUCUCCCUGACUCCUUGAGAGUCCUGAAGGAACGUUGAAGACGACGACGUUGAUAGGCCGGGUGUGUAAGCGCAGCGAUGCGUUGAGCUAACCGGUACUAAUGAACCGUGAGGCUUAACCUU
Molecule: ribosomal RNA, 176 nt
Filed under: Escherichia coli
Lineage: Bacteria; Pseudomonadati; Pseudomonadota; Gammaproteobacteria; Enterobacterales; Enterobacteriaceae
Description: partial 23S ribosomal RNA
Rfam family: Bacterial large subunit ribosomal RNA
Source: RNAcentral